UGGGGAAUCUUCCGCAAUGGGCGAAAGCCUGACGGAGCAACGCCGCGUGAGUGAAGACGGCCUUCGGGUUGUAAAGCUCUGUUAUUCGGGAAGAAAGAGUCGCUUGUGAACAAUGAGCGAAAGUGACGGUACCGAAAGAGAAAGCCACGGCUAACUACGUGCCAGCAGCCGCGGUAAUACGUAGGUGGCGAGCGUUAUCCGGAUUUACUGGGCGUAAAGGGCGUGUAGGCGGCUAGAUAAGUGUGAUGUUUAAAUCCAAGGCUUAACCUUGGGGUUCAUUACAAACUGUUUAGCUUGAGUGCUGGAGAGGAUAGUGGAAUUCCUAGUGUAGCGGUAAAAUGCGUAGAUAUUAGGAGGAACACCGGUGGCGAAGGCGGCCUUCUGGGCCAUAACUGACGCUGAGGAGCGAAAGCUAGGGGAGCGAACAGG
Molecule: ribosomal RNA, 429 nt
Filed under: Verrucomicrobiota bacterium
Lineage: Bacteria; Pseudomonadati; Verrucomicrobiota
Description: Verrucomicrobia bacterium partial 16S ribosomal RNA
Rfam family: Bacterial small subunit ribosomal RNA
Source: RNAcentral